GCUAACCAUAUAUGCAAAUAGCUUCACUGGAGUAUAGAGAGAUCCUGAAAGAAAGUUUUGGUAAGCACAUUCUUUUACACGUAGUUUAGCAAGGACAGUAUCCACCAUAGUACUCUAUAUGGAGAUCUAAAGCUUUAAUUUACUGCCUCUUUGCCACUUUUCAUGACAUACAGAAAGCUUCCUGAGAAUUAGCCUUUGUUUCUGAUUUAAAGGAAUACUGUAGUAUUUUGUGGUGGUGUGUUUUCUUUGUUUUUAAGUAUCUAUUCUAUGUUAUAUAUUUCCCAUGAGUAGUUCAUAUGUUCAGUGGCAGUUUCAAUGCUGAUUGUGUAGAAACAUCAAACUUUUUAUAAGUUAAAACUAUACAAACAUUUUAAAAAAUUUUUAAAUGUUUAUUCAUUUUUUGAGAGAGAGAGAGAGAGUGAGAGCAUGAGUGGAGGAGGGGCAGAGAGAGAGCGAGCGAGACACAGAAUCUGAAGCAAGCUCCAAGCUCUGAGCUGUCAACACAGAGCCCGACAUGGGGCUCGAACUCACGAACUGUGAGAUCAUCGAAGUCAGACGCUUAACCAACCGAACCACCUAGGUGUCCUGGGAUACACACUGAUCUUGAGAAAAGAAUGGGAAACUUCAGGGAGAUCCUUAUUGCUGAGAUAAAAGAGAGAAAAAAGGAAACAAAAAUGAAAAAUGCCAUAACUGAGAUUAGAACCAGGCUUGCUGCAAUGAACACAAAGCCAGAAGAAGUAGAGGAAGGAAUAAGUGACACAGAAGACAAAAUAGUAGAAAAUAAUGAAACUGAACAAAAGAGAAAAAAGAAUUAUGGAACUGAGAAUAGACUUAGGGAACUCAGUGGCUACAUCAAAUGUAGUAACAUUCAUAUUAUAGGAAUCCCAGAAGAAGUGAGGGAAAAGGGGCAGAAAAUUUAUUUGAGGAAAUAGUAGCUAAGAACUUACCUAAUUUGGGGAAGGAAACAGACAUCAAGAUCUAGGAGGCACAGAGAACUCCUGUCAAAAUCAAGAAAAAUAGGCCAACACUAAGACAUAUUGUGAGUGAAUUAGCAAAAUAUAGUGAUAAAGAAACAAAAUCUUAAGAGACAAGACAAAAGAAGUCCUUAACUUACAAGGGAAGACCCAUAAGGCUAGCUGCAGAUUUCUCAGCAGAAACUUGGCAGUCCAGAAGGGAGUGGCAUGCUAUAUUCGAAGUACUGAAUGUGAAAAAUCUGUAGCCAAGAAAGAAUACUCUAUCCAGCAAGGCUAUCAUUCAGAAUAGAAGGAGAGAUAAAGAGUUUCCCUGACAAAAGCUAAAGGAGUUCAUGACCACUAAACCAGCCCUGGAAGAAAUAUUAAAGGAGAUUCUUUCAGUGGAAAGUUAAGACCAGGGACACCUGGGUCACUCAUUCAGUUAAGUUUCUGACUUUGGCUCAGGUCAUGAUCUCACAGUUUAUGAGUUUGAGCCCUGCAUUAGACUCUCUGCUGUCAGUGCAGAGCCCUCUUUGGAUCCUCUGUCCCCCGUUCCCUCUCUGCCCCUCCCCUGGUCAUGUGUGCAUGCUUUCUCUCCCUCCUCCCCCCUCAAAAAUACAUAAACGUUGAAGAAAGACAAAAACAAAAGUCACAAAGACAAGAAAGGAACUGAGCAAAUCUCCAGGAACAACAAAACAAAUAAUAAAAUGGUACUGAAUACAUAUCUAUCAAUAAUUACUGUGAGUGCAAAUGGAGUAAGUGCUCCAAUCAAAAGAUACAGGGUGUCAAUGGAUUAAAAAAAACAAUAUCCAUCUAUAUGCUGUCUACAAGAGACCCAUUUUAGACCUAAAGACACUUCAGAUUGGAAGUGAGGGGAUGGAGAAACAUUUAUCACAAAUGGAUGUCAAAAGAAAGCCAGAGUAGCAAUACUUAUAUUGGACAAACUGUACUUUAAACCAAAGACUGUACCAAGAGAUGAAGAAGGGCACUAUAUCAUAAUAAAGGGGACAAAUACACCAAGAAGAUCCAGCAAUUGUAAAUAUUUAUGUACCCAACAUGCAAGCCCCCAGAUAUAUAAGACAAUUAAAAAUAAACAUAAAGGAACUUAUUGAUAGUAAUACAGUAAUAGUAGGGGACUUUAACACCCCACUUAUAUCAGUGGACGGAUCACCUAAGCAGAAAAUCAACAAGGAAACAGUGGCUUUGAAUGACACACUGGACCAGAUGGACUUAACAGAUAUAUUCAGAAUAUUCCAUCCUAAAGCAGCAGAAUGCACAUUCUUUUCAAGUGCACAUGGGACAUUGUCCAGAAUAGAUCACAUACUAGAUCACAAAUCAGCCUUCAACAAGUACAAAGAGAUUGAGAUCAUUUCAUGCAUAGUUUCUGACCACAAUGCUAUGAAACUUGAAGUCAACCAUAAAAAAAAUUUUUUUUUUGGAAAGAUCACAAAUACAUGGAGGUUAAACAACAUGCUACUAAAGAAUGAAUGGGUCAACCAGGAAAUCAAAUAAAUUAAAAAAUAUGUGGAAACAAGUGAAAAUGAAAAUACAAUGGUCCAAAACCUUUGGGAUGCAGCAAAAGUGGUCCUAAGAGGGACCUUAAGAAGCAAGAGAUAUCUCAACAACCUAACCUUACACCUAAUGGAUCUAAAAAAAGAACAACAAACAAAGCCUAAAGCCAGCAGGAGAAGGGAAAUAAUAAAGAUUAGAGAAGAAAUAAAUGAUAUAGAAACUAAAAAAAAAAUGGGUGAAACCAGGAACUGGUUCUUAGAAAAAAUUAAUAAAAUUGAUAAAUUCCUAGCCAGACUUGUCAAAAAGAAAAGAGAAAGGACCCACAUAAAGUCACAAAUGAGAAAGGACAAAUAACAACCAACACCACUGAAGUAGAAACAAUUAUAGGAGAAUAUUAUGAAAAACUAUGCCAACAAAUUGGACAACCUGGAAGAAAUGGAUAAAUUCCUAGAAACAUAUAAACUACCAAGACUGAAACAGAAAAAAAUGGUAAACUUGAAUAGAUCACUAACCAGCAAAAAUUUCCCAACAAACAAAACUCCAGGGGGUCAGAUGGCUUCAAAGGUGAAUUCCACCAAACAAUGAAAGAAGAGUUAACACCUAUUGUUAAACUAUUCCAAAGAAAAUAGAAAACCAAGGAAAACUUCUAAAUUCAUUGAAUGAGGCCAGCGUUACCCUGAUAUCAAAACCAGAAGACUCCACUAAAAUAGAAAACUAUAGGUCAGUAUCCCUGAUGAACAUGGAUACAAAAAUUCUCAAUAAAAUACUAACAAAAUCCAAUAGUAUAUUAAUCAUUAUGUACAGUAAUGUACUCUAGUACAUUAAUCAUUAAUUAGAAUCAUCCACCAGGAUCAAGCGGGAUUUAUUCCUGGUCUGCAAGUGUGGUUCAGUAUUCAUAAAUCAAUCGAUGUGAUACACCACAUUAAUAAAAGAGAGGAUAAGAACCAUAUGAUCCUUUCAAUAGAUGCAGAAAAAGCAUUUGAAAAAGUACAAUAUCCAUUCAUGAUAACAACCCUCAACAAAGUAGAUUUCAAGGGAACAUACUUCAACAUAAUAAAGGCCGUAUAGAAAAAACCCACAGCUAAUAUCAUCCUCAAUGGGGAACAACUAUAAGCUUUUCCCUAUGGUCAGGAACAAGACAGGGAUGUCCACUUUCACCACUGUUAUUUAACAUAGUACUGAAAGUACUAGACUCAGCAAUAGACAACAAAAAGAAAUAAAAGACAUCCAAAUCAUUUGCAAGGCAGAAGUCAAACUUUCACUGUUUUCAGAUGACAUGAUAGUCUAUAUAGAAAACCUGAAAGAUAUCACCAAAAAAGUGCUAGAACUCAUACACAAAUUCAGUAAACUUGCAGGGUACAAAAUCGACAUACAGAAAUCUGUUGCAUUUUUAUACACCAGUAAUGAAGCAGCAGAAGGAGAAAUGAGGGAAUCGAUCCCAUUUACAAUUGCCCCCAAACCCAUAAGAUAUGUAGGAGUAAACCUAACCAAAGAGGUAAAAGGCUUGUACUCUGAAAACUAUAAAAUACCAAUGAAAGAAAUUGAAGAUGGCACAUAUAAGAAAUGGAAAAACAGUCCAUGUUCGUGGAUUGGAAGAAAAAAUAUUGUUAAAAUGUCUAUAUUACCCACAGCAACCUACACAUCUAAUGCAAUCCUAUCAAACUACCAACAACAUUUUUCACAGAGCUAGAACAAACAAUCCUAAAAUUUGUAUGGAACUACAAGAGAUACCAAAUAGCCAACACAAUCUUGAAAAAGAAAAGCAAAGCUGGAGGCACCACAAUUCUGGACUUCAAGUUAUAUUACAAAGGUGAAGAGAUCAAGAGUAUGGUACUGGCACAAAAACAGAUGUCUAGAUCAAUGGAACAGGAUAGAAAACCCAGAAAUGAACCAACAACUAUAUGGGCAAUUGAUCUUCAACAGAGCAAGAAAAACUAUCUAAUGGAAGAAGUUCUCUUCAACAAAGAGUUUUGGGAAAACUGGACAGCCACAUGCAAAAGAAUGAAACUGGAUCAUUUUCUUACACCAUACACAAAAAUAAAUUUCAAAUGGAUUAAAGACCUGAUUGUGAGACAGGAAACCAUUAAAAUCGUAGAGAACACAGCCAGUAACCUCUUUCAUAUGGGCUGUAGCAGCUUCUUACUAUAUAUGUCUUUUCAGGCAAUGGAAACAAAAGUAAAAAUACACUAUGAGGACUACCUCAAAAUAAAAACCUUCUGUACAAUGAAGAAAACAAUUUACAAAGCUAAAAGACAACCUAUGGAUUGGUUUCUUUUUCUUUCUUUCUUUCUUUCUUUCUUUUUUUCUUUCUUUCUUUCUUUCUUUCUUUCUUUCUUUCUUUCUUUCUUUCUUCUAGGAUAUUUGCAAAUGAUAUAUCUGAUAAAGGGUUAGUACCCAAAAUAUAUAAAGAACUUCUAAAACCCUACAUCAAAAACCAAAUAAUACAAUUAAAAAAUGGACAGAAAACAUGAAUAGACAUUUUUCCAAAAAAGCACAUCCAGAUGGCCAACAGACACAUGAAAAGAUGCUCAACAUCACUCAUUAACAGGGAAAUGAAAAUUAAAACUACAGUGAGAUAUCACUUCACACCUGUCAGAAUGGCUAAAGUUAACAACACAAGGAACAGGAGGUGUUGGUAAGAAUGUGGAGAAGGGGGAACUGUCUUAGGCUGUUGGUGGGAAUGCAAACUGGUGCAGCCACUGUGGACAACAGUAUGGAGGUUCCUCAAAAGUUAAAAAUAGAACUAUUGAUCCAGCAAUUGCACUACCAGGUAUUUACCCAAAGAACACAAAAAUACUCAUUCAAAGGGAUACAUGCACCCGUGUUUAUAGCAGUGUUAUCUACAGUAGGCAAAUUAUGGAAAGAGCCCAAAUGUUCUUUGAUGAAUGAAUAAAAAAGAAGUGGUAUGUAUACGUCUAUACACACAACAGAAUAUUACUCAGCCAUGAAAAAUGAAAUCUUGUCAUUUGUAAUGAUGUGAAUGGAGCUACAGAGUAUAAUGCUAGCCAAAUAAGUCAGAGAAAGAAACAUAUCAUCUGAUUUCACUCAUAUGUGGAAUUUAAGAAACAUACCAAAGAAACAUAGGGGGGAAAAAGAGAGGCAAAUCAAGAAGCAGACUCUUAACUAUAGAGAAAAAACUGAUGGUUACCAGAAGGGAGAUGGGUCAGGGGAUGAGAUAAAUACAUGGUGGAGAUUAAGGAGUGCAUUUGUUGUAAUGAGCAUUGGGUAUUAUAUGUAUGUGUUUAAUCACUAAAUUGUAUACCUAAAGCUAAUAUUACACUGUAUGUUAAGUAACUAAAAUUUAAAUACCAAGAAAAAAAAAAAAGGAAAGGCACCCAAAUUGGUAAGGAAGAAGUAGAACUUUUACUGUUUGCAAGUGAUUUGAUACCAUAUAUAGAAAAUCUUAAAGACUCCACCAAAAAACUACUAGAACUAAUAAAUGAAUUCUGUGAAGUCACAGGAUACAAAAUUAAUAUACAGAAAUCUGUUGCAUUUCUUUACACUAAUAGUGAAGUAGCAGAUAGAGAAAUUAAGAAAACAAUCCCACUUACAGUUGCACCAAAAAUAAUAAAUUAGGAAUAAGCUUAACCAAGAAGAUGAAAGAUCUGUACUGUGAAAACUAUAAAACAUCAGUGAAAGAAAUUGAGGAUGAUGCAAGUGGAACGAUAUUCCAUGCUAAUGGAUUGGAAGAAUUAAUAUUGUUAAAAUGUCCAUACUAACCAAAACAAUCUACAGAUUGAAUGAAUGCAAGUCCUAUCAAAUACCAACAGCAUUUUUCACAGAACUAGAAUAAUAAUCCUAAAAAUUGUAUAGUACCACAAAAGACAUUGAAUAGCCAAUAGAAUCUUGAGAAAGACGAAUAAAGCUAGAAAUAUCACAACCCCAGAUUUCAAGACCUACUACGAAGCUGUAGUAAUCGAAAUGGUAUGGUAUUUUAAAAAAAUAAACACAUAAAUCCAUGUAACAGUCUAUGUGAAAGGAGGAAAGAAUAUAUAAUUGGAAAAAGAGAGUCUCUUCAACAAAUGGUGCUGAGAAAACUGGAGAACAAUAUGCAAAAGAAUAUAACUGGACCACUUUCUUAGAGCACACACACAAAUAAAACUCAAAAUGAGUUAAAGACCUAAAUGUGAUGUCUAAAAUCAAACUCCUAAAAGAACAAUAGGCAGUAUUUUUUUGACAUCAGCUAUAGAAACAUUUUGCUAGAUAUGUCUCAUCAGGCAAGAGAAACAAAAGCAAAAUUAAAGUAUUGGGACUACACCAAAAUAAAAACUUUUGCACAACGAAGGAAACCAUCAACAAAACAAGACAACUGACUGAAUAAAGAGGAUAUUUACAAGUGAUAUAUCCAAUAGUGGGUUAAUAUCCAAAAAAAUACAAAGAAUUUCUACAACUGAACAUCAUUACAGAUGGGCAUAGGAUCUGAAUAGACACUUUAAAAAAAUUGUUUCAGUGUUUAUUUUUUGAGAGAGAGAUAGAGCAUGAGUAGGGGAGGGGCAGAGAGAGAGGGAGACACAGAGUCUGAAGCAAGCUCCAGGCUCUGAGCUGUCAGCACAGAGCCUGACACGGGGCUUGAACUCACAGACUGCAAGAUCAUGAUAAAGCCGAAGUUGGAUGCCUAACCAACUGAGCCACCCAGGGAACCCCUGAAUAGUUACUUUUCAAAAGAAGACAUACAGAUGGCUAACAGACACAGAAGAUGUUCAACAUCACUCAUCAUCAGGGAAAUGCAAAUCACAACCACAGUGGUACAUCACCUCAUGCCAGUCAGAAUGGCUAAAGUCAAAGACCAGAAAUUACAUGUUGGUGAAGAUGUGGAAAAACAGGAACCCUAGUGGUGGGAAUGUAUAUUGAUGCAGCUACUGUGUCAAACAAUAUGGAGUUUCUGCAAAAAACUAAAACAGACUUACCAUAUGAUCCAGUAACUCCACUACUGGGUAUUUACCCAGAGAAGAUGAAAACACUAAUUUAAAAAAGCAUAUGUACUAUGUUUAUUGCAGGAUUAUUUGUAAUAGCCAAGAUAUGGAAUUAGCCCAAGUGUCCAUGGAUAGAUGAAAGGAUAAAGAUGAUGUAGUAUAUAUCUAUAAUGGAAUAUUACUUAGUUACAAAAAGGGAAUGAGGUCUUGCCAUUUGCAACAGCAUGGAUGGACACAGGGAUUAUAUGCUAAAUGAAAUAAUUCAGAGAAAGACAAAUACUAUAUG
Panthera uncia (snow leopard) is the source of this 7664-nucleotide long non-coding RNA. RefSeq lists it as uncharacterized. The transcript has 2 exons. Lineage: Eukaryota; Metazoa; Chordata; Mammalia; Carnivora; Felidae. The record is from RefSeq and is a predicted model, not a curated record.